Molecule: non-coding RNA, 537 nt
Organism: Salvia hispanica
Lineage: Eukaryota; Viridiplantae; Streptophyta; Magnoliopsida; Lamiales; Lamiaceae
Source: RefSeq, a predicted model, not a curated record
AGACAAAGAUCGACAGCCACCCCUUGAACUCCUUUUAGGCAUUUUCUCCAUUUUUCUUACUAGUUUUGCAUAGUUCGGUCGAAGAAAUCGUUCUAUUGGAGGGUUAAUCGAGGGGUGAUCUGAUUCUCUGUCUGCCCCCUCAGGGGUGAUCUGAUUCUCUGUCCGCACCCUAAAUGGGUUGUCUGUGCGGAGUCCUCUCGAGGAUAAAAUCUGCAUCUCCAUCUGAUUCUAUAUCUGGUCUGAAAAUGAAAAUUUUAAAUUGCCAUACUUUGGUACUGGAACUGUGACAUCACCUAUUCGGCGGGUGGAUGAUCGGUGGAGGGUGUUACAUCGACGAUUGUUUGCAUAGCAAAAGAGCAGUUGAUUAUCAAUGGCGAAUUAUCCCAAGGCCGCUGCUGGAAACAGUGCUCAACAAUCACGUGCAGCACCACCACGUCCCUCAGCCUCUCAUCCUCCAUGCUCCCGGGGCGUUGGAAAAACCACCCUUAUACUUGAACGACUAAAAAAUCCAAAAAUAAAGUCAAGGAUCAAAAAGGU